GACGAACGCUGGCGGCGUGCUUAACACAUGCAAGUCGAACGAUGAACCCGGAGCUUGCUCUGGGGGAUUAGUGGCGAACGGGUGAGUAACACGUGAGUAACCUGCCCUGGACUCUGGGAUAAGCGUUGGAAACGACGUCUAAUACCGGAUAGGACCUUGGAUCGCAUGAUCUGGGGUGGAAAGUUUUUUCGGUCUGGGAUGGACUCGCGGCCUAUCAGCUUGUUGGUGAGGUAAUGGCUCACCAAGGCGUCGACGGGUAGCCGGCCUGAGAGGGUGACCGGCCACACUGGGACUGAGACACGGCCCAGACUCCUACGGGAGGCAGCAGUGGGGAAUAUUGCACAAUGGGCGAAAGCCUGAUGCAGCAACGCCGCGUGCGGGAUGACGGCCGUCGGGUUGUAAACCGCUUUUAGUAGGGAAGAAGGGCUUCGGCUUGACGGUACCUGCAGAAAAAGGACCGGCUAACUACGUG
RNAcentral lists this ribosomal RNA (472 nucleotides) under uncultured bacterium. RNAcentral's name for it is "partial 16S ribosomal RNA". It matches the Rfam family "Bacterial small subunit ribosomal RNA", at positions 28 to 507 of the family's 1533-position model. The record is from RNAcentral.